UACCGAUUAUAUUUAAGGUUUCGAUGGCUCGUUUGGAAAAAUGAUAAUCUCUCCGUCUGAUCGCCGACAAAUUUGACAAUUGAACGAAUUGAACGAAGAGUAAAAUGCACCCGCGGUCACUGCACUUGAUUCGUAUUCUCAAGUUAGUCACCGUAUUUUGGAAAUCCAAAAUUACAGUCAUUGAACUUGACGAAAUAUCUAACGUACGGUCACCGAUAGGGUAUUCCUGUGUAUUCGUACGUCUCACAUGACAUCUCAGCGUGCGAUUAUCGUGGUGGUGUCACGGCAGAUGCCACAAGAUGGCUUAACUUGGGGCCGAUGGACGAAAGAGGAACCGGAGGAGGGAGGACGUGAAGAGAAACACGCACAAAUCACACAAGCACACACGGAUCUACUCAGGUUCGGAGCCUUCUUGCAGAGGUAAGACUUCUACUCCUGCUUGGUUGUAUUAGCCGAGAUAGGCAAACUCAACAAUGUCACUCCUUGAGCUGUAUCCUUAAGGAAGAAAAAAAAAAAGGAGAAACCCUAAUUGUCUAAGUGCACCGUCCCUUCCUACAGAGGGGUAAGAUUCUAUUUAUAAGCCGCCCAUGUCACACUGGCAUGUGGGUCGAGUCUAAUGUCAUCUUCCUUGGGCCCCGCCGGACGCGGCUUAGUUCCCUCCCGGUAGCAUCGCAGGGGACAAGACAAUUUUACUUUUCCC
RNAcentral lists this long non-coding RNA (700 nucleotides) under Brachypodium distachyon (stiff brome). RNAcentral describes it as "long non-coding RNA (BDIS_LNC003137)". Lineage: Eukaryota; Viridiplantae; Streptophyta; Magnoliopsida; Poales; Poaceae. The record is from RNAcentral.